CGAACGCUGGCGGCGCGCCUAACACAUGCAAGUCGAACGGAGCUGAGAGAAGCUUGCUUUUCUUAGCUUAGUGGCGAACGGGUGAGUAACGCGUGAGUAACCUGCCCUGGAGUGGGGGACAACAGUUGGAAACGACUGCUAAUACCGCAUAAGCCCACGAUCCGGCAUCGGAUUGAGGGAAAAGGAUUUAUUCGCUUCAGGAUGGACUCGCGUCCAAUUAGCUAGUUGGUGAGGUAACGGCCCACCAAGGCGACGAUUGGUAGCCGGACUGAGAGGUUGAACGGCCACAUUGGGACUGAGACACGGCCCAGACUCCUACGGGAGGCAGCAGUGGGGGAUAUUGCACAAUGGGGGAAACCCUGAUGCAGCGACGCCGCGUGGAGGAAGAAGGUUUUCGGAUUGUAAACUCCUGUCGUGAGGGACGAUAAUGACGGUACCUAACAAGAAAGCACCGGCUAACUACGUG
Molecule: ribosomal RNA, 466 nt
Filed under: uncultured bacterium
Lineage: Bacteria
Description: partial 16S ribosomal RNA
Rfam family: Bacterial small subunit ribosomal RNA
Source: RNAcentral